RNAcentral lists this long non-coding RNA (315 nucleotides) under Nicotiana benthamiana. RNAcentral's name for it is "long non-coding RNA (NBEN_LNC032389)". Lineage: Eukaryota; Viridiplantae; Streptophyta; Magnoliopsida; Solanales; Solanaceae. The record is from RNAcentral.
AUCGAUUGUCUGAGACGUUAAAUAUUCUGGCAGUUAUUUUGGAACACCAGACAAUCGAUUGUUAAAGCCUGACAAUCGAUUGUUCUGGUCCAGUGAGUGAAACGUUUUUUAAUUAUACCAUACAAUCAAUUAUCUAUUGUAGACAAUCGAUUGUGAUGGUCCAGAAACUGAAUUUUUUUUAUCAAAACCAAAAAUCGAUUGUCUGGUUUUGACAAUCGAUUGUCAUGGUCCAGUAACUUAAAAUUUUUUUCAUAAAACCAAACAAUUGAUUGUCUGGCUUUGACAAUCGAUUGUGGAUGGUCCAGUAACUUAAAA